This 254-nucleotide ribosomal RNA is filed under the name uncultured bacterium. RNAcentral's name for it is "partial 16S ribosomal RNA". It matches the Rfam family "Bacterial small subunit ribosomal RNA", at positions 524 to 776 of the family's 1533-position model. The record is from RNAcentral.
UACAGAGGGUGCGAGCGUUAAUCGGAAUUACUGGGCGUAAAGCGCACGUAGGCGGCUUGGUAUGUCGGGUGUGAAAUCCCCGGGCUCAACCUGGGAACUGCAUCCGAAACUGCCUUGCUAGAGUAUGGGAGAGGGAAGUGGAAUUUCCGGUGUAGCGGUGAAAUGCGUAGAUAUCUGGAGGAACACCGGUGGCGAAGGCGACAUCCUGGACCAACACUGACGCUGAGUGAGCGAAAGCCAGGGGAGCAAACGGG